UGCGUAGGUGGUGAGGUAAGUCGGAUGUGAAAUCUCCGGGCUCAACCCGGAAAUGGCAUUGGAAACUACCUUGCUGGAGGAUUUGAGGGGGGAUUGGAAUACUUGGUGUAGCAGUGAAAUGCGUAGAUAUCAAGUGGAACACCAGUGGCGAAGGCGAAUCCCUGGAAAAUACCUGACACUGAGGCACGAAAGCUAGGGGAGCAAACAG
Molecule: ribosomal RNA, 208 nt
Filed under: uncultured bacterium
Lineage: Bacteria
Description: partial 16S ribosomal RNA
Rfam family: Bacterial small subunit ribosomal RNA
Source: RNAcentral